RNAcentral lists this ribosomal RNA (509 nucleotides) under uncultured bacterium. RNAcentral describes it as "partial 16S ribosomal RNA". It matches the Rfam family "Bacterial small subunit ribosomal RNA", at positions 30 to 523 of the family's 1533-position model. The record is from RNAcentral.
AUUGAACGCUGGCGGCAUGCUUAACACACGCAAGUCGAACGGCAGCAUGACAUAAUUUCGGUUAUGUUGAUGGCGAGUGGCGAACGGGUGAGUAACGCGUAGGAAUAUACCCUGAAGGGUGGGAUAACUUGGGGAAACUCAAGCUAAUACCGCAUAAUCUCUUAGGAGGAAAGCUGGGGACCGCAAGGCCUGGCGCUUUAGGAUUAGCCUGCGUCCGAUUAGCUAGUUGGUGGGGUAAAGGCCUACCAAGGCGACGAUCGGUAGCUGGUCUGAGAGGAUGAUCAGCCACACUGGGACUGAGACACGGCCCAGACUCCUACGGGAGGCAGCAGUGGGGAAUAUUGGACAAUGGGGGCAACCCUGAUCCAGCAAUGCCGCGUGUGUGAAGAAGGCCUGAGGGUUGUAAAGCACUUUAGUUGGGGAGGAUGGUAGACCAGGUUAAGAGCUAGGUUUAUUGACGUUACCCAAAGAAUAAGCACCGGCUAACUCCGUGCCAGCCGCCGCGGUAA